This 301-nucleotide ribosomal RNA is filed under the name uncultured bacterium. RNAcentral describes it as "partial 16S ribosomal RNA". It matches the Rfam family "Bacterial small subunit ribosomal RNA", at positions 509 to 809 of the family's 1533-position model. The record is from RNAcentral.
CAGUCGCCGCGGGAAUACGAAGGGUGCAAGCGUUAAUCGGAAUUACUGGGCGUAAAGCGUGCGUAGGCGGUUUGUUAAGUCUGUUGUGAAAUCCCCGGGCUCAACCUGGGAAUGGCAAUGGAUACUGGCAAGCUAGAGUGUGUCAGAGGAUGGUGGAAUUCCCGGUGUAGCGGUGAAAUGCGUAGAGAUCGGGAGGAACAUCAGUGGCGAAGGCGGCCAUCUGGGACAACACUGACGCUGAGGCACGAAAGCGUGGGGAGCAAACAGGAUUAGAUACCCGCGUAGUCCCUGUCUCUUAUAA